This 468-nucleotide ribosomal RNA is filed under the name uncultured bacterium. RNAcentral describes it as "partial 16S ribosomal RNA". It matches the Rfam family "Bacterial small subunit ribosomal RNA", at positions 28 to 507 of the family's 1533-position model. The record is from RNAcentral.
GACGAACGCUGGCGGCGUGCUUAACACAUGCAAGUCGAACGGAAAGGCCCUGCUUUUGUGUGGUGCUCGAGUGGCGAACGGGUGAGUAACACGUGAGUAACCUGCCCUUGACUUUGGGAUAACUUCAGGAAACUGGGGCUAAUACCGGAUAGGAGCUCCUGCUGCAUGGUGGGGGUUGGAAAGUUUCGGCGGUUGGGGAUGGACUCGCGGCUUAUCAGCUUGGUGGUGGGGUAGUGGCUUACCAAGGCUUUGACGGGUAGCCGGCCUGAGAGGGUGACCGGCCUCAUUGGGACUGAGAGACGGCGCAGACGCCUACGGGAGGCAGCAGUGGGGAAUAUUGCACAAUGGGCGGAAGCCUGAUGCAGCAACGCCGCGUGCGGGAUGACGGCCUUCGGGUUGUAAACCGCUUUCGCCUGUGACGAAGCGUGAGUGACGGUAAUGGGUAAAGAAGCACCGGCUAACUACGUG